Equus asinus (donkey) is the source of this 2155-nucleotide long non-coding RNA. NCBI's taxonomy places the organism in Eukaryota, Metazoa, Chordata, Mammalia, Perissodactyla, Equidae. The record is from Ensembl.
GUGUCCCUCUUGUAAAGACCUUUGUGAUGACACUGGAGUCACCCGGAUAACCCAGCAUAAUCUCCUCAUCUAAAUAUCCUUAACAAGAUCACAUCCACGAAGCCCCUUCUGCCACACAAGCUGACAUUAAAAGGUCCCAGGAAUCACAACAUGGACAUUUGGGGGAAGAGGGGAAUUAUUCAGGCUACCACAAGGUAUCAGAGGAAAUAUGCUAUUUCAUUGAGUAAAAGGAGAAUAAAUCUCCUUUGAGGUGUAUUGGUCUUCACAAUGGUUGGCAGCUUAAAUUCAUUCUAUUUGUGUAGUCCAAAAUAUUUCAGAGAGUUUAGCUGAAAGUGAUCACAGGUAGGUAAUGGCUCCAAUUGACUGACAGGAGUAAAUGCAAAUUCUCUCUGGAGCACUGAAUCUCAGCCCCAUGCCUCAAAGCAUUAUUCCAGAAACAUCCGAGAAAAAUAAGCAGCUCACAGACAAAAGUCACAACAUAAAUAAGGAAAUGAAGCACCAGAACAGUCUACUGAAACAAUCAGCAAAAAUCAGACCAGCAAAAAUCUCAGAACAUAAAACCAUAUUUAGGGCCUGGCCCAGUGGCGUAGUGGUUAAGUUCGCCCACUCUGCUUUGGCGGCCCAGGGUUCACAGCUUUAGAUCCUGGGCGCGGACCUACAUACUGUUCAUCAAGCUGUGUUGUGGUGGCAUCCCACAUACAAAAUAGAGGAAGAUUUGCACAGAUGUUAGCUCAGGGCCAAUCUUCCUCACUAAAAAAAAUAAAAUUAAAGUUUUUAAAAAUAAAUAAAACCAUAUUUAAUAUGUUAAAAAAAAAUACAAAAGAUCCUGUUGACAUGCAAAAGGAAUAAGAGACCAUAAAGAAUACCCAAGCAGAUUUUUAGAGAAACAAAAAAGAACCCUAGAAAUAAAAGAUAUUAAAAUUUAAAGCUCAAUGAAUGGAUUAAACAAAUUAGACACAUUAAGAAGACCACAGUGAACUAGAAAAGAAAUCUGAAGCUAUAACACAGAAAUUAGCUCAAAGACAGGAUAGAGAAAACGCAAAAGAUAUUAAGAGACAGGAUGAAUAAACUAGAACAUUCUAAACUUCAUUUAACUGGAGUUUCAAAAAAAGUAAAUAGAUAUUGAAAAAAAGUCAAUAUAUAAAGAUGUUGGCUGAUAAUUUUAUAGGACUCUUUAUAAAUACAAAUCCUCAUGUUAAGAAUAAAUGCCAAAAACAGUAAAUUAAAAUGGAAUCUAUACCUGGAUACACAAUAGUGAAACUGAAGAGCAAUAAAGAAAAAAGAAAAGAUCUUAAAAGUGGUCAGAUAGGGAAAAAAAGGCCAUCUUCUAAAUAAUACCAUAGACUGAUGGCUGACUUAUCUAAAAUAAUAAAAGACAUAAAGCAGGAAAAUUUUAUCUUAAUGUGCUAAUAUAAAAAGUGUCAACCUAGAAUUCCAUAACCAAUGAAAUUAAUCCUUGAGCAUGAAAACAAAGACAUUUUCAGAUAAAUAAAAACUGAGAGUUUAUCACCAACAGAUUCUAACUGAAAGAAUUUCUUCAUGAAGAAGGAAAAUGAUCCCAGAGGGAACAUUUCAAGUGUAGAGAGGAAUGAUAAGCAAAAAAAAAUUGGUAAAUAUACAGUAAGCUAAACUACUAUUGGCCGUAUAAAGCAAUAAUAAUAAUAUCCAAUUCUAGGGGAGUGGGUCAGGAUAGAACUAAAAUAUUGGGGGAAAUAGUGCAGUGUAGGGAAGGGGAGACAGAGCCUUUUAGGGCCCUUGAUUUAGGAGGAAGGUAAACAUUGAUUAAAUUAGGUUUUGUUAAAGAUGCACGUUAAAAUAAUUAUGGAAAACAAACUUAAAAUAGACAUAAAAUAUAUAAGUUCCUAACAAGCAGCAGCAAAAAUGUGGAAUGAGAUUAAGGGGGAAAAAAUCAACUGGGCAAAAAUAAAGGAAGAAAAAAGAAGAUUGAGAUCAACAGAAACCACACAACAAAACGGCGGAAAGAAAUCAAGUCAUUAAUCAGAACAAACAUAAAUGGACUGACAUUUGGACGCCAGCUCUCUAGUUAAAUGUCAAAAGUUGUCAUAUUGCAUUAAUACAUGAAAUCCAGCUAGGGAUGACAUUAUGCUCUGCUCUUCCUGUGGUCGUUAGCCAAAAAUGAAUUGAAACCCGAGAA